Molecule: long non-coding RNA, 1005 nt
Organism: Biomphalaria glabrata
Lineage: Eukaryota; Metazoa; Mollusca; Gastropoda; Planorbidae
Exons: 3
Source: RefSeq, a predicted model, not a curated record
UUGGUUUACGUCUUGUUUGCAAGUGUUAUAAAAAUAAAAUACAAUUUUGAUUGAGUUUCUAAUAUGUGAAUAGAUUAUAAUUCAUGUUUUAUUAUGUAAUUAUCAACUAUGGUUUGUAAAGUUAACUAUCCAAUUAGGAUACAACAUGAUAACGUCAUAGUUGCAAAUGUAGUCUCAAGGCUCUAUGGGAACAUUACAAACAUAAAAAAAAACAGCCUAAGAAGGCAGUAUCCAAGGAAAUUUUUAAAAGCUAAACGAAGUUCUAUAUCACAAGAGGAUUGACACCUAGGAAUAAGACGCCUGCUAGAUCUCCCACCGAAACUUACCUCGAUGGAAAUAAAGUAACAAUACUGCAUUAAAUAAAUCUAUGAAGACAUCAUUCCAAGUUGUUUAUAUUAUAUCCAUUUUAAGGCUAAUACUACUUUUAAAGUCUGGGUAUGUGUUUGUGUGCAUCUGUGUGCGCGGGUAUGGAGGUAGGUGUGUUAAAAGAAUUAGCCAAAUAAAAAUAUUUUUGAAAGUACUUUUUAAGUCUUAUUCAGUUCAAUGUUAAAUAGGCUUAUUAAAUCAAAUAUCUAGGCAUUUUACUUAAUUCUUAUAUAUAUAUAUAUACACAAUUAUAUUUUGAGUAUUGUUAAAAUUUCUUGAGCUUGCUUACAUAUUAACUUUUCGCCCUCCAUUUAUUUAGUAAGAUGUUCCACUGGGAGUGUGGGACGGUACAGUCAGAGCUAGAGCUUCAACUUGUUUCUCUCAAUAUAGAGAUAAAAGGUCGAAUGAUUUCGUACACUAAGGAAUAAUAAUACACAUAGUUUGUGUUAAACUAAAGUUUCUUUUUCAGACUCUGUCAUCGAUAGGUCUGAGGGUGUUAAGGUCAUCUGCUUCUUUAGCCAACAGUUAACGAGCAGGGUGUCAAGUGGCCAGCAUAAAAAAAAACGCCUUUACCAUCCCCAACUAAAGUCAGGUACCUACUAGAGUUGUGCGGACUCAGGGGGCACCCUAAAAAUCGCG